RNAcentral lists this transfer RNA (65 nucleotides) under Cautires corporaali. Its description in RNAcentral is "tRNA-Phe". The record is from RNAcentral. Lineage: Eukaryota; Metazoa; Arthropoda; Insecta; Coleoptera; Lycidae.
UAUUUUAAUAGCUUAUAGAAAGUGUAAUAUUGAAGAUAUUAGGAAGGCUUUUAGCCUUAAAAUAU